RNAcentral lists this small RNA (462 nucleotides) under Pongo abelii (Sumatran orangutan). Its description in RNAcentral is "processed transcript". The record is from RNAcentral. Lineage: Eukaryota; Metazoa; Chordata; Mammalia; Primates; Hominidae.
CCCAGUGGAGCCCGACCGGUCUUCCUGCAAGAAGAAGGAAUCAGCACUCUCCACCCGAGACCGGCUGUUGCUAGACAAGAUUAAGAGCUAUUAUGAAAAUGCAGAACACCACGAUGCGGGCUUCAGCGUCCGUCGCCGGGAGAGCCUCUCCUACAUCCCCAAAGGACUGGUAAGAAACUCCGUCUCCAGGAGACUCAGGCAGUGGCCUGGAGAGGCUUUGUUCUGUAAUGGUGCCUUUUCUUAGAGUCCAGGCAGGAAUGAAGCCAAUAAUUUAUUGCUUUCCAUUCUGUGGUAUGAUGUGUGCGUGUGUGCGUGUGUGGCCCCUGUUUAUUCCCCUCCUGUCAAGAGUGAAGUGGAUUCAGUUCAGGUACUUUUGAGGGUUGUUAUGCUGACCCUGUGGUUGUCGCUGAUGUACACACAUUUCAUUAUUUGCCAAUGGUGCAAUAACCACUGCUGACCAAC